AUGGAGGAGCACCGCACCCUGAUGGGUGCGGUUAUGGAAAAGGUCCAGUCCGCGAAGAGUGGACUAAACGAAGCCUUCAACAACCUACUGACGGGCUUUGAGACAUCUAUGUUGGCGGCUACUGCCCAAGCCGCAGAGGUUUCCGAGGUCAGUCGGAAGCUUCGGCUAGCUGAUGAGGAGCUCGACUGCAUCAACAAGAGGUUUGAUGAAACGAAAGUUGGUGCAGCUGAGGUCAAGUCCCUCAGGAGUGCCCUCGCCCAAGCCACAAAAGAGGUGGAGGUGAGCAAGGCGGCCACUGACAAAGCGGCCAAGGAGUUGGAGGUCGAGAAAACCGUCCGUGAACAACAUGAGGCAGGUGGGCGAGGUCGAACAGGAGCUCAAGGACGCCAUUGCCAAGUGCGCUUCCUUGGAGCAGAAGAGUUCGAAACAAGCCCCCGAGCUCACCAAAGCUCUUGA
Molecule: ribosomal RNA, 456 nt
Filed under: Triticum aestivum (bread wheat)
Lineage: Eukaryota; Viridiplantae; Streptophyta; Magnoliopsida; Poales; Poaceae
Description: partial small subunit ribosomal RNA
Source: RNAcentral